RNAcentral lists this ribosomal RNA (493 nucleotides) under uncultured bacterium. RNAcentral describes it as "partial 16S ribosomal RNA". It matches the Rfam family "Bacterial small subunit ribosomal RNA", at positions 28 to 507 of the family's 1533-position model. The record is from RNAcentral.
GACGAACGCUGGCGGCGCGCUUAACACAUGCAAGUCGAACGGAAAGGCCUGCUUUCCCUUGUGGAUUGCGGGUACUCGAGUGGCGAACGGGUGAGUAACACGUGAGUGAUCUGCCCCCAACUUGGGUAUAAGCCUGGGAAACUGGGUCUAAUUCCCGAUAGGACUGCAGGGUGGUGCCUGUGGUGGAAAACGAUUUUCUAGUGGUUGGGGAUGAGCUCGCGGCCUAUCAGCUUGUUGGUGGGGUAAUGGCCUACCAAGGCGGCGACGGUAGCCGGCCUGAGAGGGUGGACGGCCACAUUGGGACUGAGAUACGGCCCAGACUCCUACGGGAGGCAGCAGUGGGGAAUAUUGCACAAUGGGCGGAAGCCUGAUGCAGCGACGCCGCGUGGGGGAUGACGGCCUUCGGGUUGUAAACUCCUUUCGACCGCGAGGAAGCCACCUGGUUGGAAGGGUGGUGACGGUAGUGGUAGAAGAAGCACCGGCUAACUACGUG